RNAcentral lists this microRNA (17 nucleotides) under Corchorus capsularis. RNAcentral's name for it is "sRNA CCACVL1_14441". Lineage: Eukaryota; Viridiplantae; Streptophyta; Magnoliopsida; Malvales; Malvaceae. The record is from RNAcentral.
UUCCUCCCCUCAGUCUU